CUUGAUCGAGCCCAGCCGCAGCGGGCGGUCCGCGGGUCGGUGCUGCCCGUAGGUGGCGAGCAAGGCCUGGGCCUC
This 75-nucleotide antisense RNA is filed under the name Micromonospora taraxaci. RNAcentral's name for it is "ASpks TB sRNA". It matches the Rfam family "ASpks TB sRNA". Lineage: Bacteria; Bacillati; Actinomycetota; Actinomycetes; Micromonosporales; Micromonosporaceae. The record is from RNAcentral.